This 186-nucleotide small nuclear RNA is filed under the name Hordeum vulgare subsp. vulgare (domesticated barley). RNAcentral's name for it is "U2 spliceosomal RNA". It matches the Rfam family "U2 spliceosomal RNA". From Rfam's summary of the family: U2 is a small nuclear RNA (snRNA) component of the spliceosome (involved in pre-mRNA splicing). Complementary binding between U2 snRNA (in an area lying towards the 5' end but 3' to hairpin I) and the branchpoint sequence (BPS) of the intron results the bulging out of an unpaired adenosine, on the BPS, which initiates a nucleophilic attack at the intronic 5' splice site, thus starting the first of two transesterification reactions that mediate splicing. The record is from Rfam by way of RNAcentral. Lineage: Eukaryota; Viridiplantae; Streptophyta; Magnoliopsida; Poales; Poaceae.
AUACCUUUCUCGGCCUUUUGGCUAAGAUCAAGUGUAGUAUCUAUUUUUAUUAGUUUAAUAUCUGAUAUAUGAGCCAUGUGCCCACAACGAUAUUAAAUUUAUUUUUAAUGAGGGAGGGAUCAUCACACUGGCUUGCUGCUUGGUUCCUCAGGUGUCAUUAAAUUUAUUUUUAAUGAGGGAGGGAUC